GUAACGCAAGCCUGAACGGCUUGAUUCUUAAGAGAAUCAAUAGGCUUUGUUGUUGCGAUGUUGUGUUUGCAAACUCGGAAUUCGAGUUAGGUAGUUUCUACCAUCCUAUUUUGUGCAGUUAUCCCCUGCUACAAAAUAUACUUCCUGUAUUUAUUUUUGACCUGUCUGUCAAAUAUUUAGCACCGCCUAUAGGCGGUGUUUUUUUAU
RNAcentral lists this non-coding RNA (207 nucleotides) under Vibrio cincinnatiensis DSM 19608. RNAcentral describes it as "GcvB RNA". It matches the Rfam family "GcvB RNA". Rfam says of the family: The gcvB gene encodes a small untranslated RNA involved in expression of the dipeptide and oligopeptide transport systems in Escherichia coli. Included several unknown homologues in alignment (Bateman A pers obs). It base-pairs with SorC. Lineage: Bacteria; Pseudomonadati; Pseudomonadota; Gammaproteobacteria; Vibrionales; Vibrionaceae. The record is from RNAcentral.